UCCCCUACGGGGGACAAGUAGAGUGGCGCACGGGUGAGUAACACGUAGGUAAUCUACCUUCGGAUGGGGAAUAACACCGAGAAAUCGGUGCUAAUACCGCAUAAUGCAGCGGCACCUAAUGGUGACAGUUGUUAAAGCGGGGGAUCGCAAGACCUCGCGUCUGAAGAGGAGCCUGCGGCGGAUUAGCUAGUUGGUAAGGUAACGGCUUACCAAGGCGACGAUCCGUAACCGGCCUGAGAGGGCGGUCGGUCACACUGACACUGACAUACGGGUCAGACUCCUACGGGAGGCAGCAGUCGGGAAUUUUGGGCAAUGGGCGAAAGCCUGACCCAGCAACGCCGCGUGAAGGAUGAAAUCCCUCGGGAUGUAAACUUCGCAAGAACGGGAAGAAUAAGGUCGUGUAAAUACCACGAUCGAUGACGGUACCGUUUGUAAGCUCCGGCUAACUCCGUGCCAGCAGCCGCGGUAAUACGGGGGGAGCAAGCGUUGUUCGGAUUUACUGGGCGUAAAGGGCGCGUAGGCGGCCAGCACAAGUCAGUUGUGAAAUCUCCGAGCUUAACUCGGAAAGGUCAACUGAUACUGUGCGGCUAGAGUGCAGAAGGGGCAACUGGAAUUCUCGGUGUAGCGGUGAAAUGCGUAGAUAUCGAGAGGAACACCUGCGGCGAAGGCGGGUUGCUGGGCUGACACUGACGCUGAGGCGCGAAAGCUAGGGGAGCGAACGGGAUUAGAUACCCCGGUAGUCCUAGCCUUAAACGAUGAAUGCUCGGUGUCUGGGGUUAUAUAGUCCCCGGGUGCCGUCGC
Molecule: ribosomal RNA, 801 nt
Filed under: uncultured Bacillota bacterium
Lineage: Bacteria; Bacillati; Bacillota
Description: bacterial SSU rRNA
Rfam family: Bacterial small subunit ribosomal RNA
Source: RNAcentral